UCAAGAAAAUUUGGCAAUGGGCGAAAGCCUGACCAUGCGACGCCGCGUGCUGGACGAAGUCCUUCGGGACGUAAACAGCUUUUAUGGGGGAAGAAGUAAUUGACAUUACCCCAUGAAUAAGGGGCUCCUAACUCUGUGCCAGCAGGAGCGGUAAUACAGAGGCCCCGAGCAUUAUCCGGAAUCACUGGGCGUAAAGGAUGUGUAGGCGGUCAUAUUAGUCUUUCGUGAAAGCACUCGGACUCAAUCCGGGUAACGCGGGAGAAACGGUAUGACUGAGAGGACGCGAGAGGUAGAGGGAACUCAUGGUGUAGGGGUGAAAUCCGUUGAUAUCAUGGGGAACACCAAAUGCGAAGGCACUCUACUGGCGCGCUCCUGACGCUGAAACAUGAAAGCGUGGGAAUCGAACGGGAUUAGAUACCCCUGUAGUCC
RNAcentral lists this ribosomal RNA (429 nucleotides) under uncultured bacterium. Its description in RNAcentral is "bacterial SSU rRNA". It matches the Rfam family "Bacterial small subunit ribosomal RNA", at positions 355 to 796 of the family's 1533-position model. The record is from RNAcentral.